This is a long non-coding RNA of Fukomys damarensis (Damara mole-rat), 836 nucleotides long. RefSeq lists it as uncharacterized. The record is from RefSeq and is a predicted model, not a curated record. Lineage: Eukaryota; Metazoa; Chordata; Mammalia; Rodentia; Bathyergidae. The transcript is spliced from 3 exons.
UAUCAACUCACACACCCAAAGUACAAUAACAUCUCCAAUAACCCAAAGACCUCCCGUGAGGCUGCACCUCUGACGAGUAGAUUGUACAGCAUUAGAUGACAGCACACAGCAGCGAGCACACAGAAAUCCCUGCCAUCAUGGAGUGUCUAUUCCAACAGUGAGGACACCCACAAUGGCUUGUCUUGCUAGUUGAAAACCGUGACACAGAGAUCAACUCCAGAGGUGGCCGUGGACGGGGCUGUCUGGAAGUCAUACAAAGCUGUACUGAUGGGUAACUGUCAACAUGAUCUCAAUGCAGGACACUGCCUUUCUAAACAAGUGGCAUCACAUUAUCGGAGCAAGGAAAGUGCUCUUGUGGUUGUGAGAGGAGAAGCAACGACAGUGAUGUUGUUCAAUAGUUCAGCAAGUGUGGCCAACUGGUCACUGUGAAAUUGAGUUCUUAGAAGAAAAGACAGGAACUUUCUCUAAAAGAAAUGAUAAUGUUUCCAAAUUUGAUGACAAGAGCUAGUCAGCUAUGGAAAAGUGUCCACUUAUAAAAACAACAUACACAUCUAUGCAUCAGAAAAUUCAAAAUGGUGGAGAAUCCAAAGACUAUGGAGUAUGAAAGCCCUUUAGUCUUGGUGGCAGCUGUGGAAUGCAUGAGAGAGUUCAGGCUGGAGAGAGGACCUAUGAACAUUACUAAGGUAUGAAGAUCUUCAAUGAACAUCAACAAUUUGCCCCACACAGCUGAGGAACACUGAAUGUGACCAAUGUGGGAAUUUCUCUAGAUUUAAUUCAAGUCUGGAAGUAUGUCAUAGAAUUAAAACUGGUAAGAAAUGUUUUAAAUAAAAAACAUG